UAACUGCUAGAAACUUUUUGGUAUAGUUAGUGAAGCCUGCCCGCUGAUUAGAAACAUAAUCUAGUUGAAGGGCCGCGGUAACUCUGACCGUGCUAAGGUAGCAUAAUCAAUUGCCAUAUAAUUUGUGGCUGGAAUGAAUGGCUUUACGAGUUUCCCCCUGUCUCAGUUAUACCCCAAUCGAAAUUAAGCUAGCCGUGAAGACGCGGCUUUAUCUUGGAAGGACGAGAAGACCCCGUUGAGCUUAACUCUAUUUCCCCACUCUAAUUAUGUUUUAGAAUAUCAGAGAAUUGGGAGAAAAGGGAGUUUGGUUGGGGCGACCACCUAAAUAAAAGUAACUUAGGUAGGCUAAGGUUAGUAACUAAUGUAGUAAGCUUAAUUAAUAGAUUGAUAAAUCAGUUAGAUAGUGUUAACUAAGCCAUAAUGACCCUGCCAUAAUCGGCAGAAAUUAGAUAAAAGUUACCACGGGGAUAACAGGGUUAUCUGGUUGCAAAGUUCGUAUUGAAGACCAGGUUUGCCACCUCGAUGUUGAAUAGCAGUGUCCUAAGGGUGCAGCAGCU
This 557-nucleotide ribosomal RNA is filed under the name Chirodropida sp. JX-2016. Its description in RNAcentral is "partial 16S ribosomal RNA". It matches the Rfam family "Bacterial large subunit ribosomal RNA", at positions 1820 to 2563 of the family's 2925-position model. Lineage: Eukaryota; Metazoa; Cnidaria; Cubozoa; Chirodropida. The record is from RNAcentral.